AUACGAAAGGUGCAAGCGUUGUUCGGAUUUACUGGGCGUAAAGAGAGUGUAGGUUGUUUAUUAAGUCGGAUGUGAAAUCCCGGGGCUCAACCUCGGAACUGCAUUCGAUACUGGUAGACUAGAGUUCGGGAGGGUAAGCGGAAUUCCGUGUGUAGCAGUGAAAUGCGUAGAUGUACGGAGGAACACCUGAGGCGAAGGCGGCUUACUGGACCGAUACUGACACUGAGACUCGAAAGCGUGGGUAGCAAACAGGAUUAGAAACCCCUGUAGUCC
This 273-nucleotide ribosomal RNA is filed under the name uncultured bacterium. Its description in RNAcentral is "partial 16S ribosomal RNA". It matches the Rfam family "Bacterial small subunit ribosomal RNA", at positions 523 to 796 of the family's 1533-position model. The record is from RNAcentral.